GAUUGCCCUGCACAAUAGACUGACUACAGUAACUCCUGCUUCCUGAAAAAUGUGUUUGCUGCACAGACGCUUUUUUGUGAACUCAAAGAGAGUCAAAGCCGCUGAGACUCCAGCACCACGCUGACUCUCAUCUGCCUGAUGGAGCUCUGCUUCUCAGUCAGGCUCAAAGUGAUGGUGCCAUACAUCACACCUCCACCCACCAGGACAGCAGCGAGCAUUCGGAGGCAGGCAGUGUGGACGUCCGGGAGCACAGCAACAAUAACGUCCCAUAGCUUCAGCUAUCCCUCUCUUACUCAGAGCAGAUGGACCAUGACUGUGGAGCCACAGAGAGAAAUUAGAGGAGCAUGUCCAAGUCUGUGAAGAAAGACU
Molecule: long non-coding RNA, 369 nt
Organism: Notolabrus celidotus (New Zealand spotty)
Lineage: Eukaryota; Metazoa; Chordata; Actinopteri; Labriformes; Labridae
Exons: 3
Source: RefSeq, a predicted model, not a curated record